RNAcentral lists this long non-coding RNA (5639 nucleotides) under Triticum aestivum (bread wheat). Its description in RNAcentral is "long non-coding RNA (TAES_LNC023153)". Lineage: Eukaryota; Viridiplantae; Streptophyta; Magnoliopsida; Poales; Poaceae. The record is from RNAcentral.
UUUGUCCAAUUCAUAUCCUUAAUUAGUUUUUCUGCCUUAUCUUUUGUUUUUGUCCAGUUCCUUUGUUCACAACACUAAUGUCACAUCUCGCAUAUACAUUUUGUGUUAUGCUCUCGAUCUAAGGUUCAGGAUAUUUCUUCGAUUACAGACUGAAUUUUAGGAUACAAGCUCGGGUUCUAGGGUAGGAGAAAGGGGAAUUGGGGGUAGGAGGAAGCCAGCCGCCGCCUGUGUCUUGUUCCAGCCUGCCUCCCUCUCCACGCUCGCAGGUACAUAUCCCUCUCGAUCAGCCAGUGACCCAGCUAUGGGCCGGGUACCGCUCACUCCCCUUGCGAGCCCGCGUCGGUCGGCCAUGGGCCUCAAUCUCCGUCUGGGCCUUGGUCGUAGAAGUAGCAGCGCCUGGUGUAGCUGAAGAAGUAGGAGGGGCCGUAACAUUCCCCCUUCCUUGAGACGCAGCUUGACCCCAAGCUGUAGCAGCUGGGAAGUACAGCCGCAACUCCUCUCGGUCCUCCCAUGUCGCCAGCGCUGCUGGCUGGUCAGUCCAACGCACCAACACUUGCGGUACGUCUACGCCUGCGCGAUGAUGAAUGCGGCUGUCAAGCACCUCCACCGGUUCCGGCUGCGGUGCCGCUUCGUGUGGUAACUCUUCCAGAGCAUUUUCCGAUGGUGGCAGUGCACUGCGGAGCUGAGAGACAUGAAACACCGGAUGCACCGUGCUUGUCUCCGGCAGCUUGAGCUUGUACGCCACAUUACCCACCUUUUGGAUAACCUGAAAAGGACCAAAGUACUUGAACGAGAGCUUAGUGUUAGCGCGAGUGGCCACUGAUCGUUGGAGAUAGGGUUGCAGUUUGAGAAACACCCAGUCAUCCACUUGGAACACCCGAUCAGAUCGACGCUUGUCCGCUGAUUCCUUCAUGUGCUGUCUGGCCCGGAGGAGAUGCUGCCGCAGCAUAGUCUCCAUUUGUGCCCUGUCCUGAAGCCAUUCCCCUAUAUCCGGCGAAGCACAAACUGUAGUAUCCAGGAUGCCAAAGUGCCGAGGAGCAUGGCCAUACAGUACCUCAAAAGAAGAAGUCCCCAAAGCUGAAUGAGGUGAAGUAUUAUACCAGAAUUCCGCCAACGGUAGCCAUGAUGACCACUUGGUAGGGCAGGCAUGCACGAAGCAGCGGAGGUAAGUCUCAAGGCACUGGUUGACGCGCUCGGACUGACCAUCCGUCUGUGGGUGUCUUGCAGUGCUCAUACGCAACUCGGUGUGCGUGAGACGAAACAGCCCUCUCCACAUUACACUCGUAAAGAUUGGGUCACGAUCAGACACAAUUCCUUCUGGCAAACCGUGCAACUUGUAUAUGUUGUUGGCAAAGGCCACUGCCACUUGAAACGCAGUGAAGGGAUGUGACAAGGCAAUGAAGUGCGCAUACCGUGAAAAUUUGUCGACCACCACUAAGAUGCUGUUGUAGCCUGCUGAGCGGGGAAGACCUUCCACAAAGUCCAUAGUAAUCAGCUCCCACGCUUGCUUAGGCACAGGUAAUGGCUCCAACAGCCCCGGGUAACGUACUCGUUCAGGUUUUGCUUGUUUGCAUGUCUGACACUGCUCCACAAACAGCCGCACAUGGUGCUUGAGACUCGGCCAAGUAAACAGUCUGCGGAUCCGCUUGUAUGUCACAUUGAAGCCGGAGUGGCCUCCAAUGGCACUGGAAUGUAGUGCUGCGGGCACUUGCUUCUGCAGGGUUACAUUGGCUCCCAGCCAUACCCUCCCAUGCCGGCGAAUGACCCCAUCCUGCAGGCGAAAGCCCGCAUGUCCCUCUGGUGUUGUAGACAAUUUCGCUAGCAAUUUUUGGGCUGCUGGAUCCUGCUCAUAGCCUUGCUGUACUGUUUCCAACCAUGCGAGAACCGCCACAGUUAUGGUAGCGAGGUCUCCUUGUAACGGCCCAGGGCGGCGUGAGAGUGCAUCUGCCGCUUUGUUGUCUUCGCCCUUCUUGUACACAAUACGGUAUCGCAGUCCAAGCAAUUUGGCCAUCACCUUUUGCUGCCACGGAGUCGCCAAACAUUGUCCUCCAGAUGCACUAGGCUGCGUUGGUCUGUGUGUAUGAUGAAUUCAUCGUGCUGGAGAUAAGAUCGCCAAUGUUCCACAGCCAGCAGGAUGGCGAGACCUUCCUUCUCAUAAGUGGACAGAGCGCGGUUACGCGGGCCCAACGCCUUGCUUAGGAAGGUGAUAGGGUGUCGUUCCUGCUGGAGCACCGCGCCAAUACCCAGGUCUGACGCGUCCGUCUCUAGUUCAAACGGCUUGGCAAAAUCAGGUAAGGCGAGCACUGGAGCAGAGGUCAAGGCGGUCUUGAGAGCAGCGAAUGCGGUUUCCUCGAGAUUCGUCCACCUGAAGACUAUGUUCUUCUUAAGCAGGUCAGUAAGGGGUCUGCUAAUGACGCCAAACUGCCGGACAAACUUUCGGUAGUAGCCUGCUAGGCCAAGGAACCCUCGAACCUCUUUGACCGAGGUUGGCGUCGGCCAAUUUUCCACUGCUCGGAUGUUCUUCCUGUCAGUCCGGACGCCGUCACCACUGAUCUCGUGCCCCAGAUACGUGAGACUUGGUCUCGCAAACGAGCACUUGCUCCUGUUAAUCUUGAACUGGUGUUGUUUCAGAAUCUGAAACACUUGACGAAGGAGCCUGACAUGUGUUGGUUCAUCUUCACUGUGCACUAGAAUGUCAUCUAUGAAUACCAACACGCCCUUGCGUAGCAACAGUGACAAAGCAGUAUUCAUCUUGCCUUGAAAUGUAGCGGGUCCCCCCGUCAGGCCAUAGGACAUCACUUUGAAUUCAAAGUGGCCAUGGUGAGUCUUGAAGGCCGUUUUGUGCUCGUCUUCGAGGCGCAUCCGGAUUUGAUGAUAGCCCGCGCGCCAGUCAAGACUGGUAAAUAACUUACUUCCGGCAAGUUCAUCCAACAGUUCAUCGAUGAUUGGAAGGGGGUAACGGUUCUUCACUGUGAUUGCAUUCAGGUGUCGGUAGUCAACACAAAAUCGCUAGGUGAGGUCUUUCUUUUGCACCAACAGCACAGGUGAGGCAAACGGACUCGAGCUCGGCUGGAUAAUCCCCUGAGCUAGCAUCUCUGCUACUUGACGCUCCACUUCAUCUUUCUGUGCCGGACUAUAACGAUAAGGACGAAGGUUCACAGGGCGUGCACCAGGUACCAGAGGAAUCGCAUGAUCACCCUCUCGUUGUGGUGGUACUCCCGUUGGCUCGCCGAACAGAUGCUCAUAUUCGUUAAGCAGUUGCUGCACUGAUUGAGGCACCGGCAUCUCAGUCGCUUGAACGGUGUCAGUUUGGACAGUACAUAGUUGCAGGAUGCGUGCCACUCCUGCUCGCUGGAGUAACAAGUUGAGCUCCUCUCCUGAGAGCAUCUGGCACUGCGUGACAUCUGCCUUAGCCCCUUGCAGCUGCACCUGUUGCCCUCCAUACUCAAAUUGCAUGGUCUUCUCCUGCCAAUGCACCUGCAUAGGACUGUGACAAGCAAGCCAGUCAAUGCCCAAGAUGACAUUGUAGCUUCCCAAUGGCAACACCUUCAGAUUGGUCUGGAACUGAACUCCAUGCGUGCUCCAUUGACAGCUUGGUAUCUCUUGAUCACUGCGCAUCUCGCCCCCAUUUGCCACUCGGACCUUGAGCGCACGUUUGGCCGGUUGUAAUCCCUUGAGAUGCUCCGCGAGCGAUGCACACACAAAGCUGUGCGAGCUACCCGAGUCGACCAGCAUGAUCACCUCACGCCCUUGCACCCAGCCAUGAAGACGCAUGGUUGUUGGGGAUUCUGCCCCUUCGAUUGCCUCCUUGGAAAUGACACAACAAUCUGCUGCCGACUCACUGGUUGCGUUAGGAGUCGCCACAUCUUCUUCUUGAUCGGUGCGCAUCAUAUCCAGUAAUUCCUCCACCACAUGCAGUUGUACCGUAGGGCCGCACCGGUGCUCCCGACCCCAUCGUUCGCCGCAGGUGAAACAGAGGCCGCGCGCACGGCGAUACGCCUUGAGGGUGGCCAUCUUGUCGUCUUGGACAGGUGGACGAGUCACUUCAGGGGUGCGCCGCGUCGGCGCGCGACUAUCCUGAGCGAUUACAGUUGUAGGCGAUGAGACUGGUGGCGGUGGUAGUGGCAAGGCCGUCCGCGGCACCGACCGCAGCACAUGGGCCGAUGAGUACCGACGGUCCUCGCGUUUGUCCUCACGCCGCAAUGCGUCCAGCACCUCUUCCUGCAAGCAUGCGAGAUCGACGGCAGUAUCAAGAGUUUUUGGGCGAUGCAAAACAACAACAGCUCGAAUUUCUUUCUGUAGACCAUCAAUAAAAUGUGUAAUGAAAUAAGAUGGCUCCCAGGACUCGUGGUGUGCUGUGAGAUUGUGCAUCAGUUGAGUGAAUUGCUCGGCAUACUCAGUAACAGUGCCUCCCUGACUAAGCCUAUUAAACUGCCUCAACAAAUUUUGAAACUCUUCUCGACCAAAUUGAGCGCACACAGCAUCCGCAAAUGGCCCCCAAUCUCGAAAAUGCAAGUGUGCCUUGCUCGACUGUAACCAAGACAGGGCUCCAUCGAUGAAGUACAUCGUGGCACAACUAACCCAAGUAUCCGGACUCAAUGUGGACACACGAAAAUAAGCUUCACACUUAAGCCGCCAAGCUCUAGGCCCAUCACCAUCGAACAAUGGAAAAUCAAAACGAGGUGGUGGUGGAAACCGAUGAUACCCAAAACUUCUGUCUCCCAUGAAUGAACUCUCUCCGAUGUGGAACUGAGAAUCGAGCGUACCCGUGACCGGAGGCGCCCUAGGGGUUCGUUCCCCCGGUGACAUCCCCCGAUGAUCUGAAGUCCUGCCGUGGCCAGUAGACCCGUGGCCGUCGCCACCGCGAACCAAAAGGUGGUCGCUGGGUCGGGGAAGGCGCGCGUCCGCAACUUGUGGAAGCAGGGAAGGCAGGUCUGCGGUUGUUGGAAGGAGGGGAGGCAAAUCCGCGAGGCGGACCGGCUGCACCGGAUCCUUCUCCCGUGCCGGUGCUGGGUCUUGCGCCAGCGCGGGGGCCGGCCGAAUCUCCUCGAGUUGCUGCCGCAAUUCGCCCACCUCGGCGCGCAGAUCGCCCACUGAUCGCUCAAUUGCCGGUCUCCACCCUUGGAGUUCGAGAACCACCGGGUGGAUCUCGCUGAUCUGAGCUGACAUAGCGCUGAUGGCCGCCGUCAGAUCCGCCAGAGCUUUGUUGGUUUCCUCCAUGGCUGUUGCCUUGCCGUGGCGAGUCUGGAUAAUGGAGGGAAAUCGGCCUGCCAGUGUUUGGUGGUGGGUGGGAAAGCCUGCUGAUACCAAAUGUUAUGCUCUCGAUCUAAGGUUCAGGAUAUUUCUUCGAUUACAGACUGAAUUUUAGGAUACAAGCUCGGGUUCUUGGGUAGGAGAAAGGGGAAUUGGGGGUAGGAGGAAGCCAACCGCCGCCUGUGUCUUGUUCCAGCCUGCCUCCCUCUCCACGCUCGCAGGUACAUAUCCCUCUCGAUCAGCCAGUGACCCAGCUAUGGGCCGGGUACCGCUCACUCCCCUUGCGAGCCCGCGUCGGUCGGCCAUGGGCCUCAAUCUCCGUCUGGGCCUUGGUCGUAGAAGUAGCAGCGCCUGGUGUAGCUGAAGAAGUAGGAGGGGCCGUAACA